This 776-nucleotide ribosomal RNA is filed under the name uncultured Neocallimastigales. RNAcentral's name for it is "partial large subunit ribosomal RNA". It matches the Rfam family "Eukaryotic large subunit ribosomal RNA", at positions 23 to 621 of the family's 3401-position model. The record is from RNAcentral. Lineage: Eukaryota; Fungi; Neocallimastigomycota; Neocallimastigomycetes; Neocallimastigales.
AGAGAUGUGUGAUGACGCAUAUCAAUAAGCGGAGGAAAAGAAACUAACAAGGAUUCCCUUAGUAACGGCGAGUGAAGCGGGAAGAGCUCAAAUUUGAAAUCUUCAAGGUUUUACCUUGACGAAUUGUAGUUUAAAGAAGUGUUUUCGGUUAGAGAGUUCGGUAAAAGUUCUUUGGAAUAGGACAUCAUAGAGGGUGAGAAUCCCGUAUUUGACCAUUAUUUUCAGCUGUGUGAUACACUUUCAAAGAGUCGGAUUGUUUGGGAAUGCAGUCCAAAAUGGGUGGUAGAUUUCAUCUAAAGCUAAAUAUUGGCGAGAGACCGAUAGCGAACAAGUACCGUGAGGGAAAGAUGAAAAGAACUUUGAAAAGAGAGUUAAACAGUACGUGAAAUUGUCAAAAGGGAAGCGUUUGACACCAGUGUUGUUUUCUCGAAAAUCAAUUAAAAAGAUGCCGGAUUUUGUGUUGUAUUGACCUUAUAAGCUUUCUGCACUCUUUUCUUAUCUUUUUUAAUGCACUUUUCGUUUAACAAGUCAACAUCAGUUUCUUUUGUUGUAAAAGGGUCAUUGGAAGGUGGCUUUCUUUUCGGAGAAAGUGUUUAUAGCCUUUGAUCUCUGCAACCGGAGAGACUGAGGUCUGCAGCGUAGACUCUUCGGGGUUAAAUACAUUUGUGCUAAGUUAUAGCUUUUCAUAGACAACUUGUUGACUAUGUUUAGUCUUGUAGCUUACUCGCUUAUGCUAUUUUACCUACACUUAGGAUGUUGAACUCUAUCACACACAG